AUUGAACGCUGGCGGCAGGCCUAACUCAUGCAAGUCGAGCGGAUGAAGGGAGCUUGCUCCUGGAUUCAGCGGCGGACGGGUGAGUAAUGCCUAGGAAUCUGCCUGGUAGUGGGGGAUAACGUCCGGAAACGGGCGCUAAUACCGCAUACGUCCUGAGGGAGAAAGUGGGGGAUCUUCGGACCUCACGCUAUCAGAUGAGCCUAGGUCGGAUUAGCUAGUUGGUGGGGUAAAGGCCUACCAAGGCGACGAUCCGUAACUGGUCUGAGAGGAUGAUCAGUCACACUGGAACUGAGACACGGUCCAGACUCCUACGGGAGGCAGCAGUGGGGAAUAUUGGACAAUGGGCGAAAGCCUGAUCCAGCCAUGCCGCGUGUGUGAAGAAGGUCUUCGGAUUGUAAAGCACUUUAAGUUGGGAGGAAGGGCAGUAAGUUAAUACCUUGCUGUCUUGACGUUACCAACAGAAUAAGCACCGGCUAACUUCGUG
This 484-nucleotide ribosomal RNA is filed under the name uncultured bacterium. RNAcentral describes it as "partial 16S ribosomal RNA". It matches the Rfam family "Bacterial small subunit ribosomal RNA", at positions 30 to 507 of the family's 1533-position model. The record is from RNAcentral.